UGUCGUCAGCUCGUGUCGUGAGAUGUUGGGUUAAGUCCCGCAACGAGCGCAACCCUCAUCCUUAGUUACCAUCAGGUAAUGCUGGGGACUUUAAGGAAACUGCCAGUGAUAAACUGGAGGAAGGUGGGGAUGAUGUCAAGUCAUCAUGGCCCUUAUGGAGUGGGCUACACACGUGCUACAAUGGUGGCUACAAUGGGCUGCAAAGUCGCGAGGCUAAGCUAAUCCCUUAAAAGCCAUCUCAGUUCGGAUUGUACUCUGCAACUCGAGUGCAUGAAGUUGGAAUCGCUAGUAAUCGUGGAUCAGCACGCCACGGUGAAUACGUUCUCGGGUCUUGUACACACUGCCCGUCACGCCAUGGGAAUUG
Molecule: ribosomal RNA, 364 nt
Filed under: Wolbachia pipientis
Lineage: Bacteria; Pseudomonadati; Pseudomonadota; Alphaproteobacteria; Rickettsiales; Anaplasmataceae
Description: bacterial SSU rRNA
Rfam family: Bacterial small subunit ribosomal RNA
Source: RNAcentral